Molecule: RNA transcript, 347 nt
Organism: Hipposideros armiger (great roundleaf bat)
Lineage: Eukaryota; Metazoa; Chordata; Mammalia; Chiroptera; Hipposideridae
Gene name: 40S ribosomal protein S8 pseudogene
Exons: 1
Source: RefSeq, a predicted model, not a curated record
GGCGCUGAGCCAUGGGCAUCUCUCGGAACAACUGGCACAAGCGCCACAAGACCGGGGGCAAGAGAAAGCCCUAUCACAAGAAGCGAAAAUAUGAGCUGGGACGCCCUGCUGCCAACACUAAGAUUGGCCUGCGCUGCAUACACACAGUCCGUGUGCGUGGAGGCAACAAGAAGUACCGUGCAUUGAGGCUGGAUGUGGGGAACUUCUCCUGGGGCUCCGAGUGUUGUACUCGCAAAACAAGGAUUACUGAUGUGGUCUACAAUGCAUCCAACAACGAACUGGUCCGCACCAAGACCCUAGUAAAGAACUGCAUCGUGCUCAUUGACAGCACACCGUACCGACAGUGG